Molecule: ribosomal RNA, 260 nt
Filed under: uncultured prokaryote
Description: partial 16S ribosomal RNA
Rfam family: Bacterial small subunit ribosomal RNA
Source: RNAcentral
UACGUAGGGUGCGAGCGUUGUCCGGAAUUACUGGGCGUAAAGAGCUCGUAGGUGGUUUGUCACGUCGUCUGUGAAAUUCCGGGGCUUAACUUCGGGCGUGCAGGCGAUACGGGCAAUACUUGAGUGCUGUAGGGGAGACUGGAAUUCCUGGUGUAGCGGUGGAAUGCGCAGAUAUCAGGAGGAACACCGAUGGCGAAGGCAGGUCUCUGGGCAGUAACUGACGCUGAGGAGCGAAAGCAUGGGUAGCGAACAGGAUUAGA